RNAcentral lists this ribosomal RNA (330 nucleotides) under Agapetus pinatus. Its description in RNAcentral is "eukaryotic LSU rRNA". It matches the Rfam family "Eukaryotic large subunit ribosomal RNA", at positions 56 to 351 of the family's 3401-position model. Lineage: Eukaryota; Metazoa; Arthropoda; Insecta; Trichoptera; Glossosomatidae. The record is from RNAcentral.
GAAGAAACUAACGAGGAUUCCCCGAGUAGCGGCGAGCGAAACGGGAACAGCCCAGCGCUGAAUCCUGCGGCCCCGGCGGGCCGCCGGGAAAUGUAGCGUUCGGGAGGAGAACUCAACAUAUACACGCGCGGUCAUUAGUCACGGCUGCCUGUCCAAGUUCAUCUUGAACGGGGCCCGCUUACCCGCAGAGGGUGCCAGGCCCGUGGUGACGGUAGCCGGCCGCGACGGUCUCCCUCCCAAGAGUCGGGUUGCUUGAGAGUGCAGCCCUAAGUGGGUGGUAAACUCCAUCUAAGGCUAAAUACUACCACGAGACCGAUAGCGAACAAGUAC